UUUUGCAAGGGGUCAAACCUUUCAUAACCCGGAUGGCUCCAAUGCGGGAGGGCCGUACGAGACGUGCGCCAGCCCGUGCGUGGCGCUAGUUGCCUGAUUCAAACUCGCCUUAGUCAAGGUCGCUAGUGAAAUUGUUCCGCUUGCCAAAACCACCACAAUGUCUGCCUUUCAGGAUUGCCGGGGCAGCGGAUCGGACGAGUGCCUGCACCGAGAGGGACUGGACCGGAGCGCGAGACCAGAGGUUGCGUGAGGAUGAGUCCAAACGUCGAGCACCGGCCGAGCGGGGACCCGACCAUCGGCCGAUCUUCACCCGUGACGAGCGGCCUACAACAGACGGACGGACGGGUGCAGAUGCGGCGAGGGCAAAGUGCCCAGCCAGCAUUUAAGGAGAGUAUCACUGUUUUUCCCUUUGGUGCUUUCUUUCUUUCCCUCCCUCCACUUUUUCACUGGGUGUGCACACUGGCUGUCUGCAUGAUGCCUCUUUCUUUCUCAGCGCAGCGUCAUUUUGCAAUAUUGUUUAAUUGUUGUGGUUUUUUUAAUACAUGAAGUGAACUUUUUGUACUGUAAUUGUGUGUGUACCUCUGAACCUGAAUUAAACUGUGAACUGAAUUCAAGUGGUCCAUUUUAAACAUUGGCAUGCGCAGUCUAUAGUGCAUAAUCAGAGUAAAAAGACAACAUACAAACUGGAAUCAUUUGAGACUCUCAAUAAGGCAAUUGUAAAGUUAGUCUCAAACCAAAUUGUCUUGUUAAAUAUGCAGUGUCAGGCUUUUUAUUUCUUUUUUACACUACACAAAGAAAAGCUGUAUGCAUUCUAAAUUGUUGACAAAAGUCAAGUAGCCUGACACCCAUAGGUUCAAACGACAAGCGGAAAUCUACAGUCUCUGUUGCGAUCAAUAAGGUUGGCAACCCCGCUUUAAAAUGGCCAUUGAACUCAGAAUCUUGCUUAAUGUUGGUGCAAUUUUCUGUACGAGUAAGUCGGUUUUAAUCGAGGCUGAGGCCUUUAUUUUUUAUCAUGUGGGCAUUCCUGUGAAUAAAGUCCACGUUGGUGUGUUUA
Syngnathus typhle (broad-nosed pipefish) is the source of this 1054-nucleotide long non-coding RNA. RefSeq lists it as uncharacterized. Lineage: Eukaryota; Metazoa; Chordata; Actinopteri; Syngnathiformes; Syngnathidae. The record is from RefSeq and is a predicted model, not a curated record. The transcript is spliced from 2 exons.